Molecule: ribosomal RNA, 482 nt
Filed under: uncultured bacterium
Lineage: Bacteria
Description: partial 16S ribosomal RNA
Rfam family: Bacterial small subunit ribosomal RNA
Source: RNAcentral
AUUGAACGCUGGCGGCAUGCCUUACACAUGCAAGUCGAACGGUAACAGGUCUUCGGAUGCUGACGAGUGGCGAACGGGUGAGUAAUACAUCGGAACGUGCCCGAUCGUGGGGGAUAACGGAGCGAAAGCUUUGCUAAUACCGCAUACGAUCUACGGCUGAAAGCAGGGGACCGCAAGGCCUUGCGCGGACGGAGCGGCCGAUGGCAGAUUAGGUAGUUGGUGGGAUAAAAGCUUACCAAGCCGACGAUCUGUAGCUGGUCUGAGAGGACGACCAGCCACACUGGGACUGAGACACGGCCCAGACUCCUACGGGAGGCAGCAGGGGGGAAUUUUGGACAAUAGGCGAAAGCCUGAUCCAGCCAUGCCGCGUGCAGGAUGAAGGCCUUCGGGGUGUAAACUGCUUUUGUACGGAACGAAAAGACUCUUUCUAAUAAAGAGGGUCCAUGACGGUACCGUAAGAAUAAGCACCGGCUAACUACGUG